AUUAGAAGUCAGGAUGCGCCAUGGGAUCACCUGUUAGUGCAGUCAUAGCUGAGAUAGUAAUGCAAGAGAUAGAGUCAAUUGCCAUCAACACGUCACCUGUCCCAGUACGCUGGUGGCGAAGGUAUGUUGACGACUCCAAUUCAUGUCUACGCAAAAGUGACAUUGAACAAUUCCACACCCACCUGAACACUAUCAACAAAAACAUUCAGUUUACAAUGGAAUUGCCAUCAGAAUCAAACCACGGUGAAGCAAUUUCUUUCCUUGAUACCCACAUUACCAUUCUUAAAAACCGUACCAUUGAAGUAAGUGUAUACCGUAAGGAUACACAUACCAAUAAAUAUCUAUCCUUUCACUCUCAUAAUCCCACCCAAAGUAAGCGAGCCGUAGUUAAGACCUUACUUGAUCGAGCAGACAGCAUUCCUUCUACUGACAAUAAAAAACAGCAAGAAAAGGAGUGUGUUGUCCAAGAAUUAAAGCUCAACGGAUAUCCAGAGAAAUUCAUCUUCCAGACAAGUUCCAGCAGGUCGUUUUCCAACACUAAUGACGAACCGGAAAUUAAAGG
This is a non-coding RNA of Paramuricea clavata, 562 nucleotides long. The record is from the annotation of a GenBank genome assembly. Lineage: Eukaryota; Metazoa; Cnidaria; Anthozoa; Malacalcyonacea; Plexauridae.